UUGUUCUUUAAAUGAGGACUCGUAUCAACGGCAUCACGAGGAUCCUACUGUCUCCCCCCUCUAAUCGGUGAAACUGAUCUCUCCGUGAAGAAGCGGAGAUGUACAUAUAAGACGAGAAGACCCCAUGGAGCUUUAAACCCAACAACACCCGCCCCCCUCCAAAUCCUAUUAUGUGCCCGGUGACUGUUUGUUCGGUUUUAGGUUGGGGUGACCGCGGAGUAUAAGAUAUCCUCCAUGAAAAAAGCUAACUGNCCUUAUUANAGAAAGACACUUCCNAAAAAUAAUAAAUUAAUUUUAAAUGAUCCGACAUUCGAUCAACGAACCAAGUUACCCUGGGGAUAACAGCGCAAUCCGUCCCGAGAGCCCCUAUCGACAGGNGGGUUUACNACCUCNAUGUUGGAUCAGGGUAUCCUANUGGUGCAGCAGCUACUAAAGGNUCGUUUGNUCAACGAUUAAAACCCU
RNAcentral lists this ribosomal RNA (462 nucleotides) under Boophis madagascariensis (Madagascar bright-eyed frog). Its description in RNAcentral is "partial 16S ribosomal RNA". It matches the Rfam family "Bacterial large subunit ribosomal RNA", at positions 1969 to 2597 of the family's 2925-position model. The record is from RNAcentral. Lineage: Eukaryota; Metazoa; Chordata; Amphibia; Anura; Mantellidae.